UCUGGUGUCAGCCGCCGCGGUAAAACCAGCACCUCGAGUGGUCAGGAGGUUUAUUGGGCCUAAAGCAUCCGUAGCCGGUUGUUUAAGUUUUCGGUUAAAUCUAUGCGCUUAACGUAUAGGCCGCCGAAAAUACUGGACAGCUAGGGAGUGGGAGAGGUACACGGUACUCAAUAGGAAGGGGUAAAAUCCUUUGAUCUGUUGAUGACCACCUGUGGCGAAGGCGGUGUACCAGAACACGUUCGACGGUGAGGGAUGAAAGCUGGGGGAGCAAACCGGAUUAGAUACCCGGGUAGUCCCAGCUGUAAACGAUGCAAACUCGGUGAUGCAUUGGCUUGUGGCCAAUGCAGUGCCGCAGGGAAGCCGUUAAGUUUGCCGCCUGGGAAGUACGUACGCAAGUAUGAAACUUAAAGGAAUUGGCGGGGGAGCACCACAAGGGGUGAAGCCUGCGGUUCAAUUGGAGUCAACGCCAGAAAUCUUACCCGGAGCGACAGCAGAAUGAAGGUCAAGCUGAAGACUUUACCAGACAAGCU
RNAcentral lists this ribosomal RNA (530 nucleotides) under uncultured Nitrososphaerota archaeon. RNAcentral describes it as "bacterial SSU rRNA". It matches the Rfam family "Archaeal small subunit ribosomal RNA", at positions 451 to 981 of the family's 1478-position model. Lineage: Archaea; Thermoproteati; Nitrososphaerota. The record is from RNAcentral.